RNAcentral lists this long non-coding RNA (344 nucleotides) under Jatropha curcas. RNAcentral's name for it is "long non-coding RNA (JCUR_LNC002834)". Lineage: Eukaryota; Viridiplantae; Streptophyta; Magnoliopsida; Malpighiales; Euphorbiaceae. The record is from RNAcentral.
AUGCAUUUAACCAGUCAUCUGCUAGUCCCUUUUCUUCGUCUAUUUCCUCCAAUCCAUUUGCUACAAAACCUUUUGGAACUGGAAGCACGCCUACAUUCAGUCCUGCACCUUUUACUGCUUCACCUUCAUCUAAUCCUUUCCAGUCGGCCUCGGCUUUUGCAUCAACAUCAUCUACUGGAUUUGGAGGCAACACAGCUUCAUCCAUUUUUGGCCCCUCUACUUCACCCUCGUUUGGUUCAGGAUCAUCCUUGUUCAACUCUAGCACAGGGCAAACAACUUCUUCACCAUUUGGAAAUUUUGCUAACACUCAGCCAUCGCUUUCAUUCCCGUCCACCACACCAUCU